This is a long non-coding RNA of Neoarius graeffei (lesser salmon catfish), 121 nucleotides long. RefSeq lists it as uncharacterized. The transcript is spliced from 3 exons. NCBI's taxonomy places the organism in Eukaryota, Metazoa, Chordata, Actinopteri, Siluriformes, Ariidae. The record is from RefSeq and is a predicted model, not a curated record.
GGACAGCGAGUGGCAAUUCCCCUCCCUUAAUGAAGACACCCAGCCAGGCCUGUUUCUUCACAGCCAGCCAUUAACUCAUGAUUCACCGUCGUCAGAAACCCCGCCAGGCCCUUUCCUUCAC